GCAUAUCAAUAAGCGGAGGAAAAGAAACCAACUGGGAUUGCCUUAGUAACGGCGAGUGAAGCGGCAAUAGCUCAAAUUUGAAAGCUGGCCCCUUUGGGGUCCGCGUUGUAAUUUGUAGAGGAUGAUUCGGCGAGGGCUCCCGUCUAAGUCCCCUGGAACGGGGCGUCAUAGAGGGUGAGAAUCCCGUAUGUGAUGGGUUGCCUUAGCCAUGUGAAUCUCCUUCGACGAGUCGAGUUGUUUGGGAAUGCAGCUCUAAAUGGGAGGUAAAUUUCUUCUAAAGCUAAAUACCGGCCAGAGACCGAUAGCGCACAAGUAGAGUGAUCGAAAGAUGAAAAGCACUUUGGAAAGAGAGUUAAAAAGUACGUGAAAUUGUUGAAAGGGAAGCGCUUGCAGCCAGACUUGUCCGCAGUUGCUCAGCCGGUCUCCUGACCGGCGUACUCUUCUGCGGCCAGGCCAGCAUCAGUUCGGGCGGUCGGAUAAAGGCCCCAGGAAUGUAGCUCCUCUCGGGGAGUGUUAUAGCCUGGGGUGGAAUGCGACCAGCCUGGACUGAGGAUCUCGCUUCGGCUAGGAUGCUGGCGUAAUGGCUGUAAGCGGCCCGUCUUGAAACACGGACC
This 614-nucleotide ribosomal RNA is filed under the name Dothiorella sp. ICMP16827. Its description in RNAcentral is "eukaryotic LSU rRNA". It matches the Rfam family "Eukaryotic large subunit ribosomal RNA", at positions 38 to 667 of the family's 3401-position model. The record is from RNAcentral. RNAcentral also lists the same sequence under 1 other name. Lineage: Eukaryota; Fungi; Ascomycota; Dothideomycetes; Botryosphaeriales; Botryosphaeriaceae.